AAAAAAAGGAGGAAAAAGAAAGAAAGUGAUCUAAAAAUUCUAGCACUGAAGGGUUCUUUGAAUAACUUCUUUACAUCUUCAAGCAAUGUUGAUGUCAGUGAAGAAGAAGGGCAAGAAACUACUUCUGAGCAUGAAAAUCCAGAUGUUGAGGUGAAUGAAGAUGGUGCGCGCACAGGGGAGCAAAUAAAUUUUGAAGUUGAUGCUGACAGUAUAAUGGAGGAGGAAAAUUUGUAGCCUUCCUCUAAUGAUGAACAUGAAGAUUCCCUUUCAUUUAUUUUUGAUCCAAGAACAUGGGAAGUUCUUGACAAUAGCAAAAGGGAUAUUUUAAUUGAGAAGGGACCUAUUAGAGUACCGGAUCUGGAGUUCGAGAAGGACACCAUUGGUAGACACUUUUCAUAUGCUUUUUACUCCAGGAAAUUAAGUAAUGGUGAGUUUGUUGACAAAAAGUGGUUGGUUUACCACAAAGGUGCAAACAAAGUAUAUUUUUUUUGUUGCAAGUUGUUCAAAUCAAAACUGAGCAAGUCUAUGCUGGCAUCUGAUGGAUUGAAUGACUGGAAGCGUUUGAGUGCGCGUCUCAAAGAUCAUGAGAACAGUGUUGACCAUUUAACAAACAUGAAUACAUGGAAUGAAGUUAGGUUGAGACUAAGCAAAAAUCGGACAAUUGAUGAUGAUAUGCAAAGGGGGAUUGCAAAGGAGAAGGAGCGUUGGAGACAAGUUCUGGUAAGAAUAGUUUCAGCUGUGAAGUUUCUUGCAAAACAUACUUUGGCUUUUCAUGGAUCAAAUGAGAAGUUGUAUCAAGAUAAUAAUGGUAAUUUUUUGGGCAUGACUGAAAUGAUUGCUGAAUUUGAUCCUGUUAUGCAAGAACACAUCCGGCGUAUUCUAAAUAGUGAAAUCCAUCAUCACUAUCUUGGCCACAAAAUCCAGAACGAGUUGAUCUCAGUCCUUGCUGAUGCCGUGAGAAAUGUAAUUUUAAAGAUCAUCAAAGAUGCCAAGUAUUUUUCAGUUAUUCUGGAUUGUACCCCGGAUGUGAGCCAUGAAGAACAAAUGACUCUCAUUGUGCAUUGUGUCAAUAUGUCAAGCAACCUUCCGAGAGUGGAGGAGUUUUUCCUAGAGUUCCUAAAGGUCGAGGACACAUCGGGGUUGGGGCUUUUGAAGGUAUUGAUUGAUACAUUUAGUUCUUUUGAUUUGAAUGCUGCUGAUGUGAGAGGUCAAGGUUAUGACAAUGGUUUCAACAUGAAAGGACAAUACCAAGGUGUCCAGAGUCGCUUCCUUAAAGAAAACCCCAAAGCAUUGUACAUGCCAUGUGCAUGUCAUAGUUUGAAUCUCACUCUUUGUGAUAUGGCAAAAUCUUGCAAACAGGCUAUUACAUUCUUUGGUAUUAUACAACGGAUAUACGUGUUGUUUUCACGUUCUACUAAAAGGUGGAAGAUUUUACUUGACAAUCUUCCAAAAGGAACAAAACUAACUCUCAAGCCUUUGUCCAGUACUCGUUGGGAGAGUCAAAUAAAGAGUGUGCAGCCUAUCAGGUACCAAACUAGCCAUGUAAUUUCAGCUUUGAAGGAAUUGGAGGAGACUUCUACUGAUGACCCAGCAGCUGUAAGUGAUGCUCAAUCUUUGGUCAGUGCACUUGAGAAUGUCCAAAUGUCUCUGUUGCCUAUCGGAUCGUCUUAA
This 1671-nucleotide ribosomal RNA is filed under the name Triticum aestivum (bread wheat). Its description in RNAcentral is "partial small subunit ribosomal RNA". The record is from RNAcentral. Lineage: Eukaryota; Viridiplantae; Streptophyta; Magnoliopsida; Poales; Poaceae.